RNAcentral lists this ribosomal RNA (613 nucleotides) under Pseudomonas sp. Horo_13. Its description in RNAcentral is "bacterial SSU rRNA". It matches the Rfam family "Bacterial small subunit ribosomal RNA", at positions 71 to 680 of the family's 1533-position model. Lineage: Bacteria; Pseudomonadati; Pseudomonadota; Gammaproteobacteria; Pseudomonadales; Pseudomonadaceae. The record is from RNAcentral.
GAAGGGAGCUUGCUCCUGGAUUCAGCGGCGGACGGGUGAGUAAUGCCUAGGAAUCUGCCUGGUAGUGGGGGAUAACGUCCGGAAACGGGCGCUAAUACCGCAUACGUCCUGAGGGAGAAAGUGGGGGAUCUUCGGACCUCACGCUAUCAGAUGAGCCUAGGUCGGAUUAGCUAGUUGGUGGGGUAAAGGCCUACCAAGGCGACGAUCCGUAACUGGUCUGAGAGGAUGAUCAGUCACACUGGAACUGAGACACGGUCCAGACUCCUACGGGAGGCAGCAGUGGGGAAUAUUGGACAAUGGGCGAAAGCCUGAUCCAGCCAUGCCGCGUGUGUGAAGAAGGUCUUCGGAUUGUAAAGCACUUUAAGUUGGGAGGAAGGGCAGUAAGUUAAUACCUUGCUGUUUUGACGUUACCAACAGAAUAAGCACCGGCUAACUUCGUGCCAGCAGCCGCGGUAAUACGAAGGGUGCAAGCGUUAAUCGGAUUUACUGGGCGUAAAGCGCGCGUAGGUGGUUCAGCAAGUUGGAUGUGAAAUCCCCGGGCUCAACCUGGGAACUGCAUCCAAAACUACUGAGCUAGAGUACGGUAGAGGGUGGUGGAAUUUCCUGUGUAGCG